Molecule: ribosomal RNA, 468 nt
Filed under: uncultured bacterium
Lineage: Bacteria
Description: partial 16S ribosomal RNA
Rfam family: Bacterial small subunit ribosomal RNA
Source: RNAcentral
GACGAACGCUGGCGGCGUGCUUAACACAUGCAAGUCGAACGGAAAGGCCCUGCUUUUGUGGGGUGCUCGAGUGGCGAACGGGUGAGUAACACGUGAGUAACCUGCCCUUGACUUUGGGAUAACUUCAGGAAACUGGGGCUAAUACCGGAUAGGAGCUCCUGCUGCAUGGUGGGGGUUGGAAAGUUUCGGCGGUUGGGGAUGGACUCGCGGCUUAUCAGCUUGUUGGUGGGGUAGUGGCUUACCAAGGCUUUGACGGGUAGCCGGCCUGAGAGGGUGACCGGCCACAUUGGGACUGAGAUACGGCCCAGACUCCUACGGGAGGCAGCAGUGGGGAAUAUUGCACAAUGGGCGGAAGCCUGAUGCAGCAACGCCGCGUGCGGGAGGACGGCCUUCGGGUUGUAGACCGCUUUCGCCUGUGACGAAGCGUGAGUGACGGUAAUGGGUAAAGAAGCACCGGCUAACUACGUG